UCUAAUAUGGCAGAAAAAUGCAUUGGACUUAAAUCCCAAUAAUAAAGAUAAUUAAGUCUUUUUUUAGAA
This 69-nucleotide transfer RNA is filed under the name Neodiprion huizeensis. RNAcentral's name for it is "tRNA-Leu". It matches the Rfam family "tRNA". Rfam says of the family: Transfer RNA (tRNA) molecules are approximately 80 nucleotides in length. Their secondary structure includes four short double-helical elements and three loops (D, anti-codon, and T loops). Further hydrogen bonds mediate the characteristic L-shaped molecular structure. tRNAs have two regions of fundamental functional importance: the anti-codon, which is responsible for specific mRNA codon recognition, and the 3' end, to which the tRNAs corresponding amino acid is attached (by aminoacyl-tRNA synthetases). tRNAs cope with the degeneracy of the genetic code in two manners: having more than one tRNA (with a specific anti-codon) for a particular amino acid; and 'wobble' base-pairing, i.e. permitting non-standard base-pairing at the 3rd anti-codon position. The record is from RNAcentral. Lineage: Eukaryota; Metazoa; Arthropoda; Insecta; Hymenoptera; Diprionidae.